CAAAAAAGUCCAAUAAAACAGCUCUGUGGAUCAUCAAAACAAGCACAGAUUCCAGAACUCCACUGAGCAUGGUCAUCUGUUUUGCUCUGUUGAAUUUCUUCCGCAGUAGAAACUUGUUGUACUUCUGCAUCCGACUGAUCCAGAGGAAUAUAAGGUGGAGGUGAAUAAUUCUUGUGCCCUACCAUAAUUAGUUAGGUGUAAACACCAACAACUCGAUGUCGCCGGAGAUAGGGAUAUUGCUGAGUAUUUCGCCGAAAGAGAUCGCCGGGCAAUGGACUUCACCGGAG
This 287-nucleotide unclassified non-coding RNA is filed under the name Hevea brasiliensis (rubber tree). Lineage: Eukaryota; Viridiplantae; Streptophyta; Magnoliopsida; Malpighiales; Euphorbiaceae. The record is from RNAcentral.